UACGUAGGGACCAAGCGUUGUUCGGAUUUACUGGGCGUAAAGGGCGCGUAGGCGGCGCGGUAAGUCACUUGUGAAAUCUCCGGGCUUAACUCGGAGCGGCCAAGUGAUACUGUCGUGCUAGAGUGCGGAAGGGGCUACUGGAAUUCUCGGUGUAGCGGUGAAAUGCGUAGAUAUCGAGAGGAACACCAGUGGCGAAGGCGACUACCUGGCCUGUUCUUGACGCUGAGGCGCGAAAGCUAGGGGAGCAAACGGG
This 253-nucleotide ribosomal RNA is filed under the name uncultured bacterium. Its description in RNAcentral is "partial 16S ribosomal RNA". It matches the Rfam family "Bacterial small subunit ribosomal RNA", at positions 524 to 776 of the family's 1533-position model. The record is from RNAcentral.